GGUUAAGCGACUAAGCGUACACGGUGGAUGCCCUGGCAGUCAGAGGCGAUGAAGGACGUGCUAAUCUGCGAUAAGCGUCGGUGAGGUGAUAUGAACCGUUAUAACCGGCGAUUUCCGAAUGGGGAAACCCAGUGUGUUUCGACACACUAUCAUUAACUGAAUCCAUAGGUUAAUGAGGCGAACCGGGGGAACUGAAACAUCUAAGUACCCCGAGGAAAAGAAAUCAACCGAGAUUCCCCCAGUAGCGGCGAGCGAACGGGGAGGAGCCCAGAGCCUGAAUCAGUGUGUGUGUUAGUGGAAGCGUCUGGAAAGGCGUGCGAUACAGGGUGACAGCCCCGUACACAAAAAUGCACAUAUUGUGAGCUCGAUGAGUAGGGCGGGACACGUGGUAUCCUGUCUGAAUAUGGGGGGACCAUCCUCCAAGGCUAAAUACUCCUGACUGACCGAUAGUGAACCAGUACCGUGAGGGAAAGGCGAAAAGAACCCCGGCGAGGGGAGUGAAAAAGAACCUGAAACCGUGUACGUACAAGCAGUGGGAGCCUCUUAAUGGGGUGACUGCGUACCUUUUGUAUAAUGGGUCAGCGACUUAUAUUCUGUAGCAAGGUUAACCGAAUAGGGGAGCCGAAGGGAAACCGAGUCUUAACUGGGCGUUAAGUUGCAGGGUAUAGACCCGAAACCCGGUGAUCUAGCCAUGGGCAGGUUGAAGGUUGGGUAACACUAACUGGAGGACCGAACCGACUAAUGUUGAAAAAUUAGCGGAUGACUUGUGGCUGGGGGUGAAAGGCCAAUCAAACCGGGAGAUAGCUGGUUCUCCCCGAAAGCUAUUUAGGUAGCGCCUCGUGAAUUCAUCUCCGGGGGUAGAGCACUGUUUCGGCAAGGGGGUCAUCCCGACUUACCAACCCGAUGCAAACUGCGAAUACCGGAGAAUGUUAUCACGGGAGACACACGGCGGGUGCUAACGUCCGUCGUGAAGAGGGAAACAACCCAGACCGCCAGCUAAGGUCCCAAAGUCAUGGUUAAGUGGGAAACGAUGUGGGAAGGCCCAGACAGCCAGGAUGUUGGCUUAGAAGCAGCCAUCAUUUAAAGAAAGCGUAAUAGCUCACUGGUCGAGUCGGCCUGCGCGGAAGAUGUAACGGGGCUAAACCAUGCACCGAAGCUGCGGCAGCGACACUAUGUGUUGUUGGGUAGGGGAGCGUUCUGUAAGCCUGUGAAGGUGGCCUGUGAGGGUUGCUGGAGGUAUCAGAAGUGCGAAUGCUGACAUAAGUAACGAUAAAGCGGGUGAAAAGCCCGCUCGCCGGAAGACCAAGGGUUCCUGUCCAACGUUAAUCGGGGCAGGGUGAGUCGACCCCUAAGGCGAGGCCGAAAGGCGUAGUCGAUGGGAAACAGGUUAAUAUUCCUGUACUUGGUGUUACUGCGAAGGGGGGACGGAGAAGGCUAUGUUGGCCGGGCGACGGUUGUCCCGGUUUAAGCGUGUAGGCUGGUUUUCCAGGCAAAUCCGGAAAACCAAGGCUGAGGCGUGAUGACGAGGCACUACGGUGCUGAAGCGACAAAUGCCCUGCUUCCAGGAAAAGCCUCUAAGCAUUAGGUAACAUCAAAUCGUACCCCAAACCGACACAGGUGGUCAGGUAGAGAAUACCAAGGCGCUUGAGAGAACUCGGGUGAAGGAACUAGGCAAAAUGGUGCCGUAACUUCGGGAGAAGGCACGCUGAUAUGUAGGUGAAGCGACUUGCUCGUGGAGCUGAAAUCAGUCGAAGAUACCAGCUGGCUGCAACUGUUUAUUAAAAACACAGCACUGUGCAAACACGAAAGUGGACGUAUACGGUGUGACGCCUGCCCGGUGCCGGAAGGUUAAUUGAUGGGGUUAGCGGCAACGCGAAGCUCUUGAUCGAAGCCCCGGUAAACGGCGGCCGUAACUAUAACGGUCCUAAGGUAGCGAAAUUCCUUGUCGGGUAAGUUCCGACCUGCACGAAUGGCGUAAUGAUGGCCAGGCUGUCUCCACCCGAGACUCAGUGAAAUUGAACUCGCUGUGAAGAUGCAGUGUACCCGCGGCAAGACGGAAAGACCCCGUGAACCUUUACUAUAGCUUGACACUGAACAUUGAGCCUUGAUGUGUAGGAUAGGUGGGAGGCUUUGAAGUGUGGACGCCAGUCUGCAUGGAGCCGACCUUGAAAUACCACCCUUUAAUGUUUGAUGUUCUAACGUUGGCCCGUAAUCCGGGUUGCGGACAGUGUCUGGUGGGUAGUUUGACUGGGGCGGUCUCCUCCUAAAGAGUAACGGAGGAGCACGAAGGUUGGCUAAUCCUGGUCGGACAUCAGGAGGUUAGUGCAAUGGCAUAAGCCAGCUUGACUGCGAGCGUGACGGCGCGAGCAGGUGCGAAAGCAGGUCAUAGUGAUCCGGUGGUUCUGAAUGGAAGGGCCAUCGCUCAACGGAUAAAAGGUACUCCGGGGAUAACAGGCUGAUACCGCCCAAGAGUUCAUAUCGACGGCGGUGUUUGGCACCUCGAUGUCGGCUCAUCACAUCCUGGGGCUGAAGUAGGUCCCAAGGGUAUGGCUGUUCGCCAUUUAAAGUGGUACGCGAGCUGGGUUUAGAACGUCGUGAGACAGUUCGGUCCCUAUCUGCCGUGGGCGCUGGAGAACUGAGGGGGGCUGCUCCUAGUACGAGAGGACCGGAGUGGACGCAUCACUGGUGUUCGGGUUGUCAUGCCAAUGGCACUGCCCGGUAGCUAAAUGCGGAAGAGAUAAGUGCUGAAAGCAUCUAAGCACGAAACUUGCCCCGAGAUGAGUUCUCCCUGACUCCUUGAGAGUCCUGAAGGAACGUUGAAGACGACGACGUUGAUAGGCCGGGUGUGUAAGCGCAGCGAUGCGUUGAGCUAACCGGUACUAAUGAACCGUGAGGCUUGACCUU
This 2904-nucleotide ribosomal RNA is filed under the name Escherichia coli. RNAcentral's name for it is "23S ribosomal RNA". It matches the Rfam family "Bacterial large subunit ribosomal RNA". Lineage: Bacteria; Pseudomonadati; Pseudomonadota; Gammaproteobacteria; Enterobacterales; Enterobacteriaceae. The record is from RNAcentral.